RNAcentral lists this ribosomal RNA (600 nucleotides) under uncultured bacterium. Its description in RNAcentral is "bacterial SSU rRNA". It matches the Rfam family "Bacterial small subunit ribosomal RNA", at positions 731 to 1333 of the family's 1533-position model. The record is from RNAcentral.
GGACGACAACUGACGCUGAGGCGCGAAAGCGUGGGGAGCAAACAGGAUUAGAUACCCUGGUAGUCCCACGCCGUAAACGAUGGAUACUAGGUGUGGGGGGACUGACCCCUUCCGUGCCGCAGUUAACACAAUAAGUAUCCCACCUGGGGAGUACGAUCGCAAGAUUGAAACUCAAAGGAAUUGACGGGGGCCCGCACAAGCAGUGGAUUAUGUGGUUUAAUUCGACGCAACGCGAAGAACCUUACCGGGAUUUGACAUCCCACUAACGAAGUAGAGAUACAUUAGGUGCCCUUCGGGGAAAGUGGGGACAGGUGGUGCAUGGUUGUCGUCAGCUCGUGUCGUGAGAUGUUGGGUUAAGUCCCGCAACGAGCGCAACCCUUAUUGUUAGUUGCUACGCAAGAGCACUCUAGCGAGACUGCCGUUGACAAAACGGAGGAAGGCGGGGACGACGUCAAAUCAUCAUGCCCCUUAUGUCCCGGGCUACACACGUAAUACAAUGGCGGUCAACAGAGGGAAGCAAAGCCGCGAGGCAGAGCAAAACCCUAAAAGCCGUCUCAGUUCGGAUCGCAGUCUGCAACUCGACUGCGUGAAGUUGGAAUU